UACGUAGGGCGCAAGCGUUAUCCGGAAUUAUUGGGCGUAAAGAGCUCGUAGGCGGUUUGUCGCGUCUGCCGUGAAAGUCCGGGGCUCAACUCCGGAUCUGCGGUGGAUACUGGCGGACUUGAGGGAGGUAGAGGAGAGUGGAAUUCCCGGUGUAGUGGUGAUAUGCGUAGAUAUCGGGAGGAACACCAGUGGCGAAGGCGGCUCUCUGGGCCUUUCCUGACGCUGAGACGCGAAAGCGUGGGGAGCGAACCGG
RNAcentral lists this ribosomal RNA (253 nucleotides) under uncultured bacterium. RNAcentral's name for it is "partial 16S ribosomal RNA". It matches the Rfam family "Bacterial small subunit ribosomal RNA", at positions 524 to 776 of the family's 1533-position model. The record is from RNAcentral.